Molecule: ribosomal RNA, 117 nt
Filed under: Triticum aestivum (bread wheat)
Lineage: Eukaryota; Viridiplantae; Streptophyta; Magnoliopsida; Poales; Poaceae
Source: RNAcentral
CCGGGCACUACGAUGAGACGUGAAAACACCCGAUCCCAUUCUGACCUUGAUAUAUAUGUGGAAUCGUCUUGCACCAUAUGUACUAAAAUUGUUCAGGAGACAUGGUCAGAGCCCGGA